Molecule: long non-coding RNA, 4757 nt
Filed under: Homo sapiens (human)
Lineage: Eukaryota; Metazoa; Chordata; Mammalia; Primates; Hominidae
Description: HSALNT0353586
Source: RNAcentral
GCCAGAAGGACAGUGGGAGCAGAAUAAAAAUUAAACAUGUUGACUUUGUUUGGUGCCCUGUAGGUAAAAUGUCACAUCUUGUCCUCAGCUCCUGAAGAUGUAAUUACCCGGCUCAUUUCCCAGAGCUGCUGUGCAAUUCGUAUUGCUUCCAGAUUCUCCAGUUUAUGUGCCUGCAGAUGGUCCCUGCUACUGCUUCGAGUGGCUCAGCGGAGACUCCAGACGCCAUGAGGCGGCGACAAGCCACCCUGCCUGAAUUCCUGACCCACAGGAACUAUGACAGGUGUGUAGGUGGAGACAAAUUGUGCCCCUGGAGCUGUACUUAAUGGGUGACACUCAGAAGCUUUAUCUACACCUGAUUCAGAUAAGUAGAUAAUGAGUUUUGGGCUUUUGAGCUGGUGAGAUUCUGGACUUUAUCUAGUGUGAUAAUGGGAUGAGACUGUUGGAAACCUUGGGGAGCAGGUAAAUGUUUUCUGCAAGUGAGAGUGAAUUAUGGGGCCAGAGUUUGUACUCUGGUGGACAGAACUGUAGGUGGCCCUAAUGAUCUCUGCCCCCAUUGCAGCAUCCAUGAUUAGGUUAAGUGAUAUAGCAAAGAAAUCCUGCCUAUGUGGUUACGGUCACUAAUGAGUUGAUGUUAAAAUAAAAAUAUAAUCUGGGUGGGCCUAACCUAACCAUAUGAGCCCUUUAAAUAUAGAGUUUUACAUAGAUGGACCUGGAAUCAUUAUCAUAAGUGAAAUAACUCAGAAACGGAAAGUUAAAUACUGCAUGUUCUCACUUGUAAGUGGGAACUACACACUGGGUAUGCAUGGACAUAUAAAGUGGAAUAGCAGAUGUUAGAGACUCCAAAAGAUGAGGAGAUGGGAAUGGGGUGAAGGUUAAAAAACUACCUAUUUGGUACAAUGUUCACUAUUUGAGUGACGUGUACGCAAAAGUCCAGAUUUCACCAUGAUGAAAUAUAUCCACAUACAUGUAACAAUACUGCACUUGUACCUCCUAAAUCUAUUUUUUUAAAGUGGAGUUUUAUCUGAUUGGUAGAAGAAGAGGAAGUCAGAGAGAUUCCAAGUAUGAGAAGUAUUUGAUGAACAAUUACUGGCUUUGAAGAUAGAGGAGGCCAUGGAGCAAAGAAUGCAAAUGGCCUUAGGAGCUGAGAAUGGCCCUUGACUGACAGCUAACAAAGAAAUGGAGAAGUCAGUCAAGCAAUAGCAAAAAAUGGAAUUCUCCCAUCAACCUGAACAAGCUUAAAAGCAGACUCUUCCUCAGAACCUUGGUUAGAGCCCAGCCCAGCCAAAAUUUCAGCCCUGAAAGACCCUAAGUAGAGACCCCAGUUGAGCCCACUUGGACUUCUGACCUACAGAACUGUGAGAUAAUGAAUGGAAGUUGUUUGAAGCCAUUAAGUUUAUGGUAAUUUGUUACACAACAAUAGCCAACUAAUAGACUCCAUAAUCCCAACAAACAACCUUAACUUCCAUAAACAACUAUUUAUUGAACACUUACUGUACUUAAGGUAUAUGAAAGGGACAUAAAGAGAUAGCAACUAUAAAAAUGUAAUUAGCUAAUAUUUAUGGAGCAGUUCUACAAUGUGCCAUAUAGUCUCCUGAUUAUGUGUGAAUUAUCUCAUUUAAUCUCCACAAUCUGUGAAGGAUGUAGUAGUUUAUUACUAACAAAGGAGUAGAAACAUGAAGGGUACGUAGAUUGUCUAAGGUUUAUUUAUAAAACACGACAGACAGUAAGCACAACCAGUAUAAUUUCCGUAUUUUCUGGGGUAGUGCUGAUUUAAAAUAUUCGGUCUUCUUGCCUCCUGAUUGCAUUUAUAAUUGUCAAACCACAUUCCUGGGUCUGUGGUUCAGAAAAUAUGGUCAUCCUGCUUAUAAAAUAAAGACAUAUGUACCAUAGGAGCCCUGACUCUCAAGGCAGCCAUCUGUGUCCAGUGCAAUGGGUCAAACAUAGAGUGUUUCUUUAGUAAACACCACAAACUUGCUGUCUGCAUGCUUCCUUAGAGGACACAGCGACUAAUUGAUGGUCAAAUGGCAUCCUUCAGUGAAGAUUGGGAUUGGGCAAAACUGGGAUAAACACUGGAACCUGUUUUAGUUAUCUAUUGCUGAGUCAUAGGAACCUCAACAAGCCAGUAAUGGCUUAAAACUCAUGAUUUUGUGUGUCUGAAAUAUUUCAGGGGCUUGUCUGGGGUGGUUCUUCUCUGCUCUGCCUGGCUAGGACUGUCACUUGAUGCUGCUCCUUGCUUUUCCCUCUCCACGUGACAUCCUCAUCCUUCAGGGCCUGUCAGUGGAACCUGGACUACUCACAGGUUGGUGGUCUUCAGAUCGCCAUACCUCUUUCAUGGCGCUUGGCUUUCACAAAGCAGGAAGUGAAAGUUCCCAGACCUGUUAAGGACAACCACGAGUGGAACAGCAUUCUCUCUGCUGUGUUCUAUUGGACAAAGUGGUCAAAGGGUCUGACCGUCACAUUGCAGGAGAAUCUGUGGAUUGGGAACAUAUUGUUGGUGUCAUCUUUGGAAAAUACAGGCCACUGUAGUGUUCCUUGAGAAAUGUUAUUUCUUCAGUCGCAGGGAUAUACUCCCGUUCUGAGAGUUAGGAAAUAAUGGAAAUAAACUGAAGAGUAACAAUUCAGACACACGUUGAUGAGAACAGAGCAUUUUCUUCCUGGGUUUCCCAUUAUAUAAACACACAGAGGAUCAGGUCAUUAUGGAGAGUGUGGGCCUACCAACCAGAAGGGUUUUAUACCUCUUCUUAACUGCAACAGCUAGUUAGUCAUUGCCUGCCAACUACCUCGUAUCUGAUCUUCCAUCAGUUCUGGAGAGUUGCUGGAAAUGUUCCCAAGCAACUGUGGUGCUGUUUCUGCAGGUAGAGGAGGGAAGAAAACAAGUAAUGACCAUUGAAUUUUCCCUUUAUUUUAUAUACUUAUCACUAUCAUGCCAUGGUUAUUCAUGCCACCCACAGCAAGUCCACACACAUGUAAGGGAGAAGAUUUUAUGACAUUCCUGCAGCCCUCAUCACAGGGGGCUUGUCCUGUCCAGUAUCUUCAUCCUUUUGCAUAUAAGGACUGCUAACUGGAUGAAAUAGGCCCUGUUAAACCAGAGAUAAUUAUUCAUUUGAGAAAGACUAUCAUGUCUUCAAGUUAUGCCAACAUAUGCAUCAGAUGCCAGCAGUUGCGUGAUAUAUUAUACUUGGUUCAGAUUCAAUCUAGAUACUCUACAUUUAUUUCCUUAUUUCCUGCCAGGAGACAAGGACUAGUAUGAUUUUCUGUCAUGAGCUUCAGGGGAAGUUUCCAUAUUAAAUGUUGUUAUCAUUUAUAUUAAUUAUUAACAUAUUAGUACAUAAUAUAUCAUAGUAAUAUAUUAAAAAUAUUGGUAUAUAUUAUUUUGAAAUUACCAUUUGAAAUUAUUUUGAAAUGUGCAUUAAAUUGAUGGUUAUAUGGAGCCAAGGUUCCUUAUGCUUUUCUACAUUAGUAGGAAGUUUUGGAACCAAAUUUUUGGACCUCCUGGGUGUAUAACAUAGAUUAUCUCUCACUGUGCUCUGUGAUCUUGUGGAGGUUGAUGGCCUAAGAAAGAAACAGGAUUGGGCUAACAGAAAAUACCCUGCUGGAAUAGGAAGAUGGGGAGCUCACAGGGAUGUCCCAGACCUCAGUACUUCUGCAUAACAAACACCCAGACUCAGAGGCUUAAAAUACAAACAAUCAUUCAUUUUGAUUGCGAAUCUGCUUCACAGGUCACCCAACCUGUUACUGUCAUCUUCUAGAAUAAUGUGGCAUAUUCAGGCUUUUUCAGAACCAAUUAAAGUUGUCCUGAGGGGUUCAGUAAACAUAUAGCAGUAGGCUAAAAAGUAUUAAUCAAGACUGUGCCAUGAGAACAUCAGGCCAGCGGUUAUCAUGUAACUUGGAUUUCCACACUCGUAUUCAGCUUAAAAUUAUUCAUUCAAUUUUCCUUUAAGGGCACCUAUAUUUUAAGGGCCGUGGCUUCUCCUUUCUGGUCUGAUAAAAUAAUAAAAUGGUCACCAUAUUUUAAUCUGGGUGCUUCGAUGGACCUAGCGGAGGAACCUCCCCAUUCCCAGCAGCAUUAUGAUGUGAAUGGUGAUGGGCAUCAGACAUGACAUAUGUAACAUGUCCCAUGCACGGAAGGGUGCUCCAUGACUGCAAACCUGGAUGAUGAUGACAACGACGAUGGAGAUGACUAAGACUGUAUUUAAAAAUGGAAUUGCUGUUGUUUCCUGGCUUCCUGAUGGUCCUGUUUUUUACCUUCUGCUGCUUUUUACGGAUUUAUUUUUUCUUGACUGAUUCGUACCUUUUUGAGCAAUGGGAACCUUUGGUGGUGUAAAGCCUAGAAAAGACUCGCAACAAUAUUAAAAAAUGUGUAUGACACACAUGGUAUGUCGGAAGAAACCCAACCAUAUCUGUGUUUGCAACAACUGCAGUGUACCAUGAAGAUGACUGGAGUUCUAUGGCAACAACAUUGCAAGCACUGCUAAACCCACUGUGGUUUCUUGCCUACAUUCCUAGCCAAAGUCAACACUAAAUUUCUGUUAGAGGUGAUGAAAAUAAAAGUUUAUUUUUCCCCAUCUAUGCUCAUAUAGUCCUCCCCCAAAUUCCAUCUAUGGACUUUUGGGAGAUCCAUGGACCCCAGGUUAGGAAUGUUAGAAUUAGAUGCAUUAUUUCUUUAUAGGUAUAGAUAAGGAAAAGAUUAGAAGGAUCAACUGAUCUGGCCAUUAACUAGUUCAAAUACUAAGGAGUAAAAUGAAAUAAAAGUUUUA